Pseudoruegeria sp. SK021 is the source of this 59-nucleotide regulatory RNA element. It matches the Rfam family "terC RNA". The record is from Rfam. NCBI's taxonomy places the organism in Bacteria, Pseudomonadati, Pseudomonadota, Alphaproteobacteria, Rhodobacterales, Roseobacteraceae.
UACGAUGACCGGGCCCCUCUGGCGAAAGUAGCGGCACUUUCGCGAUGUCGGCGUCGACC